This 497-nucleotide ribosomal RNA is filed under the name uncultured bacterium. Its description in RNAcentral is "partial 16S ribosomal RNA". It matches the Rfam family "Bacterial small subunit ribosomal RNA", at positions 28 to 507 of the family's 1533-position model. The record is from RNAcentral.
GAUGAACGCUGGCGGCGUGCCUAAUACAUGCAAGUCGAGCGAACGGACGAGAAGCUUGCUUCUCUGAUGUUAGCGGCGGACGGGUGAGUAACACGUGGAUAACCUACCUAUAAGACUGGGAUAACUUCGGGAAACCGGAGCUAAUACCGGAUAAUAUUUUGAACCGCAUGGUUCAAUAGUGAAAGACGGUCUUGCUGUCACUUAUAGAUGGAUCCUCGCUGCAUUAGCUAGUUGGUAAGGUAACGGCUUACCAAGGCAACGAUGCAUAGCCGACCUGAGAGGGUGAUCGGCCACACUGGAACUGAGACACGGUCCAGACUCCUACGGGAGGCAGCAGUAGGGAAUCUUCCGCAAUGGGCGAAAGCCUGACGGAGCAACGCCGCGUGAGUGAUGAAGGUCUUCGGAUCGUAAAACUCUGUUAUUAGGGAAGAACAUAUGUGUAAGUAACUGUGCACAUCUUGACGGUACCUAAUCAGAAAGCCACGGCUAACUACGUG